GACGAACGCUGGCGGCGUGCUUAACACAUGCAAGUCGAACGGAAAGGCCCUGCUUUUGUGGGGUGCUCGAGUGGCGAACGGGUGAGUAACACGUGAGUAACCUGCCCUUGACUUUGGGAUAACUUCAGGAAACUGGGGCUAAUACCGGAUAGGAGCUCCUGCUGCAUGGUGGGGGUUGGAAAGUUUCGGCGGUUGGGGAUGGACUCGCGGCUUAUCAGCUUGUUGGUGGGGUAGUGGCUUACCAAGGCUUUGACGGGUAGCCGGCCUGAGAGGGUGACCGGGCACAUUGGGACUGAGAUACGGCCCAGACUGCUACGGGAGGCAGCGGUGGGGAAUAUUGCACAAUGGGCGGAAGCCUGAUGCAGCAACGCCGCGUGCGGGAUGACGGCCUUCGGGUUGUAAACCGCUUUCGCCUGUGACGAAGCGUGAGUGACGGUAAUGGGUAAAGAAGCACCGGCUAACUACGUG
This 468-nucleotide ribosomal RNA is filed under the name uncultured bacterium. RNAcentral describes it as "partial 16S ribosomal RNA". It matches the Rfam family "Bacterial small subunit ribosomal RNA", at positions 28 to 507 of the family's 1533-position model. The record is from RNAcentral.